This 305-nucleotide ribosomal RNA is filed under the name Salmonella enterica subsp. enterica serovar Infantis. RNAcentral's name for it is "partial 16S ribosomal RNA". It matches the Rfam family "Bacterial small subunit ribosomal RNA", at positions 1 to 302 of the family's 1533-position model. Lineage: Bacteria; Pseudomonadati; Pseudomonadota; Gammaproteobacteria; Enterobacterales; Enterobacteriaceae. The record is from RNAcentral. RNAcentral also lists the same sequence under 6 other names.
AAAUUGAAGAGUUUGAUCAUGGCUCAGAUUGAACGCUGGCGGCAGGCCUAACACAUGCAAGUCGAACGGUAACAGGAAGCAGCUUGCUGCUUCGCUGACGAGUGGCGGACGGGUGAGUAAUGUCUGGGAAACUGCCUGAUGGAGGGGGAUAACUACUGGAAACGGUGGCUAAUACCGCAUAACGUCGCAAGACCAAAGAGGGGGACCUUCGGGCCUCUUGCCAUCAGAUGUGCCCAGAUGGGAUUAGCUUGUUGGUGAGGUAACGGCUCACCAAGGCGACGAUCCCUAGCUGGUCUGAGAGGAUG